AUUAGCUCUAAUCGGGUCAAGCUUCCGGCGGAUUUACAUUUUCCCCAAAUCGACAAACGAACACUAUGAGUUGAGAGCUACUCGUCGGUGAUCGGACUUCGGUGGAAUACUAUCUUAGACGUCGAUUAUUAGAUAGCCUGCUUUGGCUUACAUAAUGCCUCGUAGUCGCAAUGCCAUUGUUGCUACUGGCUUAGUUGCCUUUGUCGCUGCUGGCUUAGCAUUCCCGUUUUACAUGGCGUGAGUAAACCUUUUCAGCUCUUACUUCAUGUACAUUAUCUCUGAUCCAGGUCCCGAUCAUCAAGAGCAAUGCCCGUGAUUGAUUCAUCAAAAGCGCUACCACCUCAGGCAACUUUUCGUGGACCUUAUAUCAAUACUGGUUCGCGUGAUAUUGGACCUGAUCAACACACUUACCCUAAGAAAUAAUUUCUCCUUUAUGUAUAUUUUCUUAAUUUAGAUUGUUUUGUAUGGCAUGCGAAUUCUUUCACCUAUACUUUCACUCAAUGAGAGCAUCCAGAAUUCUAUUGCUUCUAACACCGCAAUGGAGAAGCAAUUUGUUGUCUCUUUGCGAGAAGAGAGGAAAAAGAAAAUGUAAUAAACUAUACCAAAGCAUGCUCUAAGCAGUUUUUUUAAGUUUCAAUUAGUUUAAGCUAAAUAGCUAUUUAUUAAA
Ipomoea triloba (trilobed morning glory) is the source of this 667-nucleotide RNA transcript. RefSeq lists it as uncharacterized. NCBI's taxonomy places the organism in Eukaryota, Viridiplantae, Streptophyta, Magnoliopsida, Solanales, Convolvulaceae. The transcript is spliced from 3 exons. The record is from RefSeq and is a predicted model, not a curated record.